This 253-nucleotide ribosomal RNA is filed under the name uncultured bacterium. RNAcentral's name for it is "partial 16S ribosomal RNA". It matches the Rfam family "Bacterial small subunit ribosomal RNA", at positions 524 to 776 of the family's 1533-position model. The record is from RNAcentral.
UACGUAGGCAGCAAGCGUUGUUCGGAGUUACUGGGCGUAAAGGGUGUGUAGGCGGUUGGAUAAGUGUGGUGUGAAAUCUCCCGGCUUAACUGGGAGGGUGCGCUACAAACCGUCUGGCUAGAGUCCGGAAGAGGAGAGUGGAAUUCCCGGUGUAGCGGUGAAACGCGCAGAUAUCGGGAAGAACACCCGUGGCGAAGGCGGCUCUCUGGGACGGUACUGACGCUGAGACGCGAAAGCGUGGGGAGCGAACAGG